CCAGCAGCUGCGGUAAUUCCAGCUCCAAUAGCGUAUAUUAAAGUUGUCGCAGUUAAAAAGCUCGUAGUCGGACUUCUGGCCGUGUCGGACGGUCCGCCGCAAGGUGUGCACUGUUCGGGGCAGCCAUCCUCUUGAGGACCGCGUGUGCCCUUCACUGGGUGGGCGCGGGACUCAGGACCUUUACGUUGAAAAAAUUAGAGUGUUCAAAGCAGGCUUACGCUUGAAUACAUUAGCAUGGAAUAAUGGAAUAGGACUUUGGUACUAUUUUGUUGGUUUGUGCACCAGAGUAAUGAUUAAUAGGGACAGUUGGGGCUAUUCGUAUUCCAUUGUCAGAGGUGAAAUUCUUGGAUUUCUGGAAGACGAACGACUGCGAAAGCAUUUAGCAAGGAUGUUUUCAUU
RNAcentral lists this ribosomal RNA (399 nucleotides) under uncultured eukaryote. Its description in RNAcentral is "SSU rRNA". It matches the Rfam family "Eukaryotic small subunit ribosomal RNA", at positions 567 to 974 of the family's 1831-position model. The record is from RNAcentral.